CCUACGGGAGGCAGCAGUGAGGAAUAUUGGUCAAUGGGCGAGAGCCUGAACCAGCCAAGUAGCGUGAGGGAGUACUGCCCUAUGGGUUGUAAACCUCUUUUGUCGGGGAGCAAAAGCCGGACGUGUCCGGCUGUGAGAGUUCCCGAAGAAAAAGCAUCGGCUAACUCCGUGCCAGCAGCCGCGGUAAUACGGAGGAUGCGGGCGUUAUCCGGAUUUAUUGGGGUUAAAGGGGGCGGAGGCGGAUUUGUAAGGCAGCGGUCAAAUCGUGGGGCUCAACCCCAUCCAGCCGUUGAAACUGGGGUUCUUGAGUGUGCGAGAGGUAUGCGGAAUGCGUGGUGUAGCGGUGAAAUGCAUAGAUAUCACGCAGAACCCCGAUUGCGAAGGCAGCAUACCGGUGCACAACUGACGCUCAGGCACGAAAGCGUGGGUAUCGAACAGGAUUAGAUACCCCUGUAGUC
This 458-nucleotide ribosomal RNA is filed under the name uncultured bacterium. RNAcentral's name for it is "partial 16S ribosomal RNA". It matches the Rfam family "Bacterial small subunit ribosomal RNA", at positions 338 to 795 of the family's 1533-position model. The record is from RNAcentral.